RNAcentral lists this ribosomal RNA (497 nucleotides) under uncultured bacterium. Its description in RNAcentral is "partial 16S ribosomal RNA". It matches the Rfam family "Bacterial small subunit ribosomal RNA", at positions 28 to 507 of the family's 1533-position model. The record is from RNAcentral.
GAUGAACGCUGGCGGCGUGCCUAUUACAUGCAAGUCGAGCGAACGGACGAGAAGCUUGCUUUUCUGAUGUUAGCGGCGGACGGGUGAGUAACACGUGGAUAACCCACCUAUAAGACUGGGAUAACUUCGGGAAACCGGAGCUAAUACCGGAUAAUAUUUUGAACCGCAUGGUUCAAAAGUGAAAGACGGUCUUGCUGUCACUUAUAGAUGGAUCCGCGCUGCAUUAGCUAGUUGGUAAGGUAACGGCUUACCAAGGCAACGAUGCAUAGCCGACCUGAGAGGGUGAUCGGCCACACUGGAACUGAGACACGGUCCAGACUCCUACGGGAGGCAGCAGUAGGGAAUCUUCCGCAAUGGGCGAAAGCCUGACGGAGCAACGCCGCGUGAGUGAUGAAGGUCUUCGGAUCGUAAAACUCUGUUAUUAGGGAAGAACAUAUGUGUAAGUAACUGUGCACAUCUUGACGGUACCUAAUCAGAAAGCCACGGCUAACUACGUG